CCUACGGGAGGCAGCAGUCGAGAAUCAUUCACAAUGGGGGAAACCCUGAUGGUGCGACGCCGCGUGGGGGAAUGAAGGUCUUCGGAUUGUAAACCCCUGUCAUGUGGGAGCAAAUUAAAAAGAUAGUACCACAAGAGGAAGAGACGGCUAACUCUGUGCCAGCAGCCGCGGUAAUACAGAGGUCUCAAGCGUUGUUCGGAAUCACUGGGCGUAAGGCGUGCGUAGGCUGUUUCGUAAGUCGUGUGUGAAAGGCGCGGGCUCAACCCGCGGACGGCACAUGAGACUGCGAGACUAGAGUAAUGGAGAGGGAACUGGAAUGCUCGGUGGAGCAGUGAAAUGCGUAGAGAUGGAGAGGAACACUCGUGGCGAAGGCGGGUUCCUGGACAUUAACUGACGCUGAGGCACGAAGGCCAGGGGAGCGAAAGGGAUUAGAUACCCGUGUAGUC
This 446-nucleotide ribosomal RNA is filed under the name uncultured bacterium. RNAcentral describes it as "partial 16S ribosomal RNA". It matches the Rfam family "Bacterial small subunit ribosomal RNA", at positions 338 to 795 of the family's 1533-position model. The record is from RNAcentral.